Molecule: ribosomal RNA, 274 nt
Filed under: uncultured bacterium
Lineage: Bacteria
Description: partial 16S ribosomal RNA
Rfam family: Bacterial small subunit ribosomal RNA
Source: RNAcentral
AUACAGAGGGUGCGAGCGUUAAUCGGAAUUACUGGGCGUAAAGCGCACGUAGGUGGGCAAGUAAGUUGUUGGUGAAAAGCCUGGGCUUAACCUGGGUCUGUCCAGCAAAACUGCUAGUCUAGAGUGUAUUAGAGGGAAGUGGAAUUUCCGGUGUAGCAGUGAAAUGCGUAGAUAUCGGAAGGAACACCAGUGGCGAAGGCGACUUCCUGGAAUAUAACUGACACUGAGGUGCGAAAGCGUGGGGAGCAAACAGGAUUAGAAACCCUGGUAGUCC